Molecule: ribosomal RNA, 253 nt
Filed under: uncultured bacterium
Lineage: Bacteria
Description: partial 16S ribosomal RNA
Rfam family: Bacterial small subunit ribosomal RNA
Source: RNAcentral
UACGUAGGGCGCAAGCGUUAUCCGGAAUUAUUGGGCGUAAAGAGCUCGUAGGCGGUUUGUCGCGUCUGCCGUGAAAGUCCGGGGCUCAACUCCGGAUCUGCGGUGGGUACGGGCAGACUAGAGUGAUGUAGGGGAGACUGGAAUUCCUGGUGUAGCGGUGAAAUGCGCAGAUAUCAGGAGGAACACCGAUGGCGAAGGCAGGUCUCUGGGCAUUAACUGACGCUGAGGAGCGAAAGCUGGGGGAGCAAACAGG